UACGUAGGGGGCGAGCGUUGUCCGGAUUUAUUGGGCGUAAAGAGCGUGUAGGCGGCCAGGUAGGUCUGCUGUGAAAACUCGAGGCUCAACCUCGAGACGUCGGCGGAAACCAUCUGGCUAGAGUCCGGAAGAGGAGAGUGGAAUUCCUGGUGUAGCGGUGAAAUGCGCAGAUAUCAGGAAGAACACCCGUGGCGAAGGCGACUUUCUGGCCUGUUCUUGACGCUGAGGCGCGAAAGCUAGGGGAGCAAACGGG
Molecule: ribosomal RNA, 253 nt
Filed under: uncultured bacterium
Lineage: Bacteria
Description: partial 16S ribosomal RNA
Rfam family: Bacterial small subunit ribosomal RNA
Source: RNAcentral